GCGCAGCUUACACAUGCAGUCGAGCGGUAACAGGGGGUGCUUGCACCCCGCUGACGAGCGGCGGACGGGUGAGUAAUGCAUAGGAAUCUGCCCAGUAGUGGGGGAUAGCCCGGGGAAACCCGGAUUAAUACCGCAUACGCCCUUUGGGGGAAAGCAGGGGAUCUUCGGACCUUGCGCUAUUGGAUGAGCCUAUGUCGGAUUAGCUAGUUGGUGGGGUAAAGGCCUACCAAGGCGACGAUCCGUAGCUGGUCUGAGAGGAUGAUCAGCCACAUCGGGACUGAGACACGGCCCGAACUCCUACGGGAGGCAGCAGUGGGGAAUAUUGGACAAUGGGGGCAACCCUGAUCCAGCCAUGCCGCGUGUGUGAAGAAGGCUUUCGGGUUGUAAAGCACUUUCAGUGAGGAGGAAAACCUUCUGGUUAAUACCCAUGAGGCUUGACGUUACUCACAGAAGAAGCACCGGCUAACUCCGUGCCAGCAGCCGCGGUAAUACGGAGGGUGCAAGCGUUAAUCGGAAUUACUGGGCGUAAAGCGCGCGUAGGUGGUUUGAUAAGCGAGAUGUGAAAGCCCCGGGCUUAACCUGGGAACGGCAUUUCG
RNAcentral lists this ribosomal RNA (596 nucleotides) under Marinobacter sp. Its description in RNAcentral is "bacterial SSU rRNA". It matches the Rfam family "Bacterial small subunit ribosomal RNA", at positions 42 to 630 of the family's 1533-position model. Lineage: Bacteria; Pseudomonadati; Pseudomonadota; Gammaproteobacteria; Pseudomonadales; Marinobacteraceae. The record is from RNAcentral.